UGUGAGGUGCUGGCGUCUCCGAGGCUCCACCAGCAAGCUCCCUCCUGGCGCGUCUCUCGGCGGAAUCUCUGAGGAGUGUGUCACGGUACUGUAUAAAGGAAGCGGUCUUGAUUCCAAGUUAAUUGAGUUGUGGAGUUAGCCUGACUGAAGGAAUAAUAAACCCGACAUGCUCCGCGAAGUCUUUCUCUCUCAGCGGGCUAAUUAGUGGCUCCUGGCGGCGAGGAGGAAGGAAGAGGAACUAUACUCGGAAUGUCUGGGUGAUAUUCAAGUCUAUGUAGACCGGAACCGAAUCAAGCUCGACUCACCGAACCAUCUGCGCGAGUGCAUUCGAAUCAGGAGAUUGCGCCGAUUCUAGUGAGGGCCCGUGUCACGUCCGCUCUUCAGCCAGGUACGCCCGUCACGCAUCAGGUGGAGCAGGCUGGCGUCCCCUUCACCUGGCGAGCCAUUAACACCUCCGCGCCAAGGUGGGCCUGCAAGAUAAACA
Long non-coding RNA from Portunus trituberculatus (swimming crab), 484 nucleotides. RefSeq lists it as uncharacterized. Lineage: Eukaryota; Metazoa; Arthropoda; Malacostraca; Decapoda; Portunidae. The transcript is spliced from 4 exons. The record is from RefSeq and is a predicted model, not a curated record.